RNAcentral lists this Y RNA (102 nucleotides) under Prolemur simus (greater bamboo lemur). Its description in RNAcentral is "Y RNA (ENSPSMG00000009626.1)". It matches the Rfam family "Y RNA". From Rfam's summary of the family: Y RNAs are components of the Ro ribonucleoprotein particle (Ro RNP), in association with Ro60 and La proteins. The Y RNAs and Ro60 and La proteins are well conserved, but the function of the Ro RNP is not known. In humans the RNA component can be one of four small RNAs -- hY1, hY3, hY4 and hY5. The record is from Rfam by way of RNAcentral. Lineage: Eukaryota; Metazoa; Chordata; Mammalia; Primates; Lemuridae.
GGUUGGUCUGAGUGCAGUGGUGCUUUCAACUAAUUGAUCAUAACCAGUUACAGAUUCCUUUGUUCCUUCUCCACUCCCACUGCUUCACUUGACCAGCCUUAA